This 471-nucleotide ribosomal RNA is filed under the name uncultured bacterium. RNAcentral describes it as "bacterial SSU rRNA". It matches the Rfam family "Bacterial small subunit ribosomal RNA", at positions 355 to 825 of the family's 1533-position model. The record is from RNAcentral.
UCGGGAAUUUUGGACAAUGGGGGCAACCCUGAUCCAGCCAUGCCGCGUGUGUGAAGAAGGCCUUCGGGUUGUAAAGCACUUUCGGCCGGAACGAGAUCGCGCGGGCUAUUACCCCGCGUGGAUGACGGUACCGGAAGAAGAAGCACCGGCUAACUACGUGCCAGCAGCCGCGGUAAUACGUAGGGUGCGAGCGUUAAUCGGAAUUACUGGGCGUAAAGCGUGCGCAGGCGGUUUGAUAAGCCAGAUGUGAAAUCCCCGGGCUUAACCUGGGAACUGCAUUUGGAACUGUCAGACUAGAGUAUAGCAGAGGGGGGUAGAAUUCCACGUGUAGCAGUGAAAUGCGUAGAGAUGUGGAGGAAUACCAAUGGCGAAGGCAGCCCCCUGGGUUAAUACUGACGCUCAUGCACGAAAGCGUGGGAGCAAACAGGAUUAGAUACCCAUGUAGUCCCUGAGCGGGCUGGCAAGGCGCAU